Long non-coding RNA from Osmerus eperlanus (European smelt), 3244 nucleotides. RefSeq lists it as uncharacterized. NCBI's taxonomy places the organism in Eukaryota, Metazoa, Chordata, Actinopteri, Osmeriformes, Osmeridae. The transcript is spliced from 2 exons. The record is from RefSeq and is a predicted model, not a curated record.
ACACACACACAGUGCAACUGUUCCUUUUCGUCUUAGCUGAGUUCGCCUCAAUGUACAACUUUCAAUUCCCUGGCUGUAGGAAAUCUGUUGCCAUAGGAACGCCUGUGUUAUCAGUUGUUGGCACUGUGUUUUAGUUGACGAGUUGUCAGUUUGAAUAGGAUCCCCUGACACAGCUAACAGGCUGUUAUUCGUUUGAUUCAUUUGAUUACAGGUGAAAACGACAGACUGGAUCGCAUUGAUUUUACCAUGUUUGGUUAAUCUAUUCAUAGACAAUUGAACUGGCAGAUAUAGUCUCCUUGCCUGUGAGGCAAUAUUGUCCAAUGGCAUCUCAGAAAUCAACUGUCUCUCUCACUUUCACUGGUUGGAGAAGGCAGUAAGCAGGUCUCGCUUCGGUCAAAUACUUCACUAAGUGCCAAUGAAAAGAACAUGACAAUUCAAGAAUGACCUACCUAAUUAAAUUGCACUAAAUUGCACUGCACAAAUAUGUGUUUUUAUACAUGGAGAUUUUAUACACACAUAUUUUGAAGUGAAAUAAAUUUUAGUUUUGGUGGUCGUCACUGCUGGUUGGUUUUAUGGGCUUUCAGGGAUGGUGCAGCUGAACUUGUUGGGUCCCCCAUGAGCAGUGUGGAGCUGACCACAGUGGAGCUGACCACAGUGGUGUUGACCACAGUGGUGUUGACCACAGUGGUGCUGGUGUCUGUGGAGCUGACCACAGUGGAGCUGACCACAGUGGUGCUGGCGGUGCAGUGAGUAGCAGCAUGGCAAGGGAAGUCCCAGUCGUCCUGUUCUGUCCGAUGCGUCACCUAGACUCGAGUACAGAGGGCUCAGAGGACCUCCCUGACCUGGCCCUCCAAGCCUGUCACCCAGAACAGACACUCUGCUCUGAUGCCAGUCCUGAUCUAACCACCAACUGUUGUUGUCUUGACAACAGAUACUCCACAGAAUUUUAGUGCCAGAAGUUUGUUUCCUUAUGUAAUCAGCUUUCACAAACCCUUGGUCUUCCUUUAAAUAGAGGCUUAAGCCUUUUAGAUGUUCUUCUGAUAGGAGUGGGUUUGUACAGUUGUUGUCUUACCCACCUCUCCAAGCUCUCUCUCUCUCCACCUCCAGUUAAAGCACUUGUGAGUUUGGCGUUCUGGCAGCUGAUAGGCUUUGUGAAGCCAAUCAAUAGUCAUGUCUCCUGCACCUGUCCCCACUCCAACUGCCGUUUAUUGCACUAACGUGGACUACAGGGUCACAGGUCAGGCACAUGUCAGUAUGACCUGGCCUAAGAUGGACCCUUGAUGGUACCACAUAAUGGGGUACCAGUUGCUAACUGAUUGUGGAUCAGCCUCCACGGGUAACUCAGACAUUUUGGGGUUAUGGGAGUUGGAGUGGGGACCAACCAGUCUUUGAUUGUGUGUGUGUGUGUGCGUGUGUGUGUGUGUGGGGGGGGGGGAGGGGUCUGGAGCUUCAUGAAAAGGGGAAAAUAGGCAAGCAGUGACAAUGAAGAGAUGGGAGUUGUAGUUUCAGGCCUUUCCUGUACAUAUGCAACAAAAAGGAACCAUGCGGCUUGUUCAGUUAGGAUUGUUUUCUGUGUUGUUCUAUUUCUGUUUUAUGAAAAGGAAAACAUUUUUUAAGUAGAGUUGCUCAGAAUUAUUUCUUCUAUUUUUUAAAAGGCAAAUGAGAAACUAUAGUGACUUUGUUUAUUGUAGAUUAGAAGCAAAGGGGAGAGAAAAGAAAACACGUGAAUGUAAAAUCUACAAAAAGAAACGUUUUUUUUUCUCUUCCUGUUUUGGACGUUUAUUUUCUUGCGUGUAGUGAGCCUGUAGAGAGCAUUCCGACUUCAGUAUCUACAAUAUAUACUCAUAGACAUACAGUUGACUUAUCAUGCAUUCUGUAUCAUAUCAAUAACACAACCAUGCAGUAUUGCUUUAAUUUCUUUUGUGCAAUGAGAUGCUUUAAUUGGAAGAACUAACUGUGUCAGAAACACAGAGGCCUCAGAUGAUCACUGUCUUUCUGUCUUUCUGUCUUUCUGUGUCUUUCUCCCAGCCAAAUAUUGAACAUCUUGUUAUUGUUUAAUGUUUUGUGUGGUAUUGAUGUUAUGUUGUUGUUGUUGGGCAGGAUCACCCUUUGGCUCCUGGUUUGAGGGAUUGUUUUAUCUUUAGGGAACUACUGUCCUGCCCUGAACAUUCCAACAGGCGCGCUUGCCACCAUGUCUUGUCUAUCCUAGUCUUCCCCUUGUCCUUUCACGACAUGGCUUCUCUUUUUCCUUCCUUAGUUUGUUUCUCCUUCUUCCACCUCUCGCUUUCAAGAUUUACUGUAGUCCCGCCCACGUUACCCAGUAUGUUAAGCUAACCAAACCCCUCAAAUGUGCAGCAGACAGAAAAGUUUUCCAAAUGUUUCCCUCGCUGUGUACUGAAUGUCCAAGUUGUCAUGUUUGACUCAGCAGCAACAAUGCCAAUGGAUCUCCAUCCAAAACAAAUGUAUCACUUUGCUACGGCAGCUCCUCUGAACUCUCUGCUUACUCUACUAUGUCCUUAUGUCACACACCUUCCUUCUUUCUUUCUUUCUUUCUUUUUUUUGAUUGUCUGUUUCUGCUAAUAUGUUGUGUCUUUACUGAGCCUUAAUAUGUCUGGUGUGAAACUGACCUUAUUGUUGCUUUAUAUUUUUCACUUUUAUUGAUCUAUUGAUGUUCUCUCAUUCUCUGUGGUUCAGAGUGAGAUGGUUGUUUUGCAUGUCCAGCAUCAUAUUCUCCUGUCAGUACAACACUGAAGGCUUAGUUGAGUUGUCCUUCUACACGGAUUAAAGAUCAGUGCACAGUACAUUUCCAAACCUUAUACAUUUACAUUUAGUCAUUUAGCAGACGCUCUUAUCCAGAGCUUAUAGGUGCUUCCCCACCAGCAAAUGGUUUUAAUGUCAAAUACAGACUUGUUCUGCUGUAGUACACACGUUAACACUUCAAGGGGAAUUUGAAAUUCUUGCAUACAUGUUGCAUUGAGUACCUUUCCACACUGCUGACCUAAUUUCCAAGUCUAAGGGCAAUUCUCUUUCCAUUUAGACUCUUGUUGUGUGACCAGUGGUCCUCCACACAGACAGAGGGUGCUAUCUAGUCUACAGCAGUGGGGUCAUCCAGCCUGCAACAUGACACUCAUGGGCUGUCCAGCCUCAAGUGUUAGAAUAGAAACAUUACAGGAAGAUGCUGAUAUGUAAUAGAUGUUGUGUAAAUGUGAUUGAAGAGAAAUAAAAGUGAAUGGGUUAAAUCUUC